Molecule: transfer RNA, 67 nt
Filed under: Cryptocercus kyebangensis
Lineage: Eukaryota; Metazoa; Arthropoda; Insecta; Blattodea; Cryptocercidae
Also listed under: 1 other name
Description: tRNA-Leu
Source: RNAcentral
ACUAUUUUGGCAGAUAAGUGUAUUGGAUUUAGAAUCUUUUUAUAUAGGUUAAUUUCUAUAAAUAGUA